GACGAACGCUGGCGGCGUGCCUGACACAUGCAAGUCGGACGGUUCUUGCACCUUCAAGCUUGCUUGUUGGUUCAAGGAUAGUGGCGGACGGGUGAGUAACGCGUGAACACCUACCCAUUGGAGGGGUACAACCCGUCGAAAGGCGGGCUAAUACCGCGUAAGCCGUGAGGUGAAAGGCUGCUCUUUGGUGGCUGCCGAUGGAUGGGUUCGCGUCCUAUCAGCUGGUUGGUGGGGUAACGGCCUACCAAGGCUAAGACGGGUAGCCGGUCUGAGAGGAUGGCCGGCCACACUGGAACUGAGACACGGUCCAGACUCCUACGGGAGGCAGCAGUGGGGAAUCUUGGGCAAUGGGGGAGACCCUGACCCAGCGACGCCGCGUGAGGGAUGAAGGUUUUCGGAUCGUAAACCUCUGUUGUACGGGAAGAAGGAUGUGACGGUACCGUACGAGUAAGCCCCGGACAAACUACGUG
Molecule: ribosomal RNA, 470 nt
Filed under: uncultured bacterium
Lineage: Bacteria
Description: bacterial SSU rRNA
Rfam family: Bacterial small subunit ribosomal RNA
Source: RNAcentral